CUCAAGAUGAGAUAUCCCGUGGUAAACACGUAAGACCCCUUGAAGACGACAAGGUAGAUAGGGCUGGGGUGUAAGCAUGGCAACAUGUUCAGCUGACAGUCACUAAUAGGUCGAGGGCUUAUCCUA
Molecule: ribosomal RNA, 126 nt
Filed under: Lachnospiraceae bacterium
Lineage: Bacteria; Bacillati; Bacillota; Clostridia; Lachnospirales; Lachnospiraceae
Description: partial 23S ribosomal RNA
Rfam family: Bacterial large subunit ribosomal RNA
Source: RNAcentral